This 77-nucleotide transfer RNA is filed under the name Microbacterium sp. RNAcentral's name for it is "tRNA-Leu". It matches the Rfam family "tRNA". From Rfam's summary of the family: Transfer RNA (tRNA) molecules are approximately 80 nucleotides in length. The record is from RNAcentral. RNAcentral also lists the same sequence under 1 other name. Lineage: Bacteria; Bacillati; Actinomycetota; Actinomycetes; Micrococcales; Microbacteriaceae.
CCCCCCAUAGCCCAACCGGCAGAGGCAGCCGACUUAAAAUCGGCCCAGUGUGGGUUCGAACCCCACUGGGGGGACCA